GAUGAACGCUGGCGGCGUGCCUAAUACAUGCAAGUCGAACGCUGAAGGAGGAGCUUGCUCUUCUGGAUGAGUUGCGAACGGGUGAGUAACGCGUAGGUAACCUGCCUGGUAGCGGGGGAUAACUAUUGGAAACGAUAGCUAAUACCGCAUGACAACAGUUAUUGCAUGAUAACUGUUUAAAAGGGGCAACUGCUCCACUACCAGAUGGACCUGCGUUGUAUUAGCUAGUUGGUGAGGUAACGGCUCACCAAGGCGACGAUACAUAGCCGACCUGAGAGGGUGAUCGGCCACACUGGGACUGAGACACGGCCCAGACUCCUACGGGAGGCAGCAGUAGGGAAUCUUCGGCAAUGGACGGAAGUCUGACCGAGCAACGCCGCGUGAGUGAAGAAGGGUUUCGGAUCGUAAAGCUCUGUUGUAAGAGAAGAACGAGUGUGAGAGUGGAAAGUUCACACUGUGACGGUAGCUUACCAGAAAGGGACGGCUAACUACGUG
RNAcentral lists this ribosomal RNA (495 nucleotides) under uncultured bacterium. RNAcentral describes it as "partial 16S ribosomal RNA". It matches the Rfam family "Bacterial small subunit ribosomal RNA", at positions 28 to 507 of the family's 1533-position model. The record is from RNAcentral.